AAUCCAUAGGUUAAUGAGGCGAACCGGGGGAACUGAAACAUCUAAGUACCCCGAGGAAAAGAAAUCAACCGAGAUUCCCCCAGUAGCGGCGAGCGAACGGGGAGGAGCCCAGAGCCUGAAUCAGCAUGUGUGUUAGUGGAAGCGUCUGGAAAGGCGCGCGAUACAGGGUGACAGCCCCGUACACAAAAGCGCAUGUGCUGUGAGCUCGAUGAGUAGGGCGGGACACGUGGUAUCCUGUCUGAAUAUGGGGGGACCAUCCUCCAAGGCUAAAUACUCCUGACUGACCGAUAGUGAACCAGUACCGUGAGGGAAAGGCGAAAAGAACCCCGGCGAGGGGAGUGAAAAAGAACCUGAAACCGUGUACGUACAAGCAGUGGGAGCACCCUUUGGGUGUGACUGCGUACCUUUUGUAUAAUGGGUCAGCGACUUAUAUUCUGUAGCAAGGUUAACCGAAUAGGGGAGCCGGAGGGAAACCGAGUCUUAACCGGGCGUUAAGUUGCAGGGUAUAGACCCGAAACCCGGUGAUCUAGCCAUGGGCAGGUUGAAGGUUGGGUAACACUAACUGGAGGACCGAACCGACUAAUGUUGAAAAAUUAGCGGAUGACCUGUGGCUGGGGGUGAAAGGCCAAUCAAACCGGGAGAUAGCUGGUUCUCCCCGAAAGCUAUUUAGGUAGCGCCUCGUGAAUUCAUCUCCGGGGGUAGAGCACUGUUUCGGCUAGGGGGCCAUCCCGGCUUACCAACCCGAUGCAAACUGCGAAUACCGGAGAAUGUUAUCACGGGAGACACACGGCGGGUGCUAACGUCCGUCGUGAAGAGGGAAACAACCCAGACCGCCAGCUAAGGUCCCAAAGUCAUGGUUAAGUGGGAAACGAUGUGGGAAGGCCCAGACAGCCAGGAUGUUGGCUUAGAAGCAGCCAUCAUUUAAAGAAAGCGUAAUAGCUCACUGGUCGAGUCGGCCUGCGCGGAAGAUGUAACGGGGCUAAACCAUGCACCGAAGCUGCGGCAGCGACACUGUGUGUUGUUGGGUAGGGGAGCGUUCUGUAAGCCUGUGAAGGUGUGUCGUGAGGCAUGCUGGAGGUAUCAGAAGUGCGAAUGCUGACAUAAGUAACGAUAAAGCGGGUGAAAAGCCCGCUCGCCGGAAGACCAAGGGUUCCUGUCCAACGUUAAUCGGGGCAGGGUGAGUCGACCCCUAAGGCGAGGCCGAAAGGCGUAGUCGAUGGGAAACGGGUUAAUAUUCCCGUACUUGGUGUUACUGCGAAGGGGGGACGGAGAAGGCUAUGUUGGCCGGGCGACGGUUGUCCCGGUUUAAGCGUGUAGGUGUGUGUUCCAGGUAAAUCCGGUUCACUUUAACACUGAGGCGUGACGACGAGGCACUACGGUGCUGAAGCAACAAAUGCCCUGCUUCCAGGAAAAGCCUCUAAGCAUCAGGUAACAUCAAAUCGUACCCCAAACCGACACAGGUGGUCAGGUAGAGAAUACCAAGGCGCUUGAGAGAACUCGGGUGAAGGAACUAGGCAAAAUGGUGCCGUAACUUCGGGAGAAGGCACGCUGACACGUAGGUGAAGUGAUUUACUCAUGGAGCUGAAGUCAGUCGAAGAUACCAGCUGGCUGCAACUGUUUAUUAAAAACACAGCACUGUGCAAACACGAAAGUGGACGUAUACGGUGUGACGCCUGCCCGGUGCCGGAAGGUUAAUUGAUGGGGUCAGCGCAAGCGAAGCUCCUGAUCGAAGCCCCGGUAAACGGCGGCCGUAACUAUAACGGUCCUAAGGUAGCGAAAUUCCUUGUCGGGUAAGUUCCGACCUGCACGAAUGGCGUAAUGAUGGCCAGGCUGUCUCCACCCGAGACUCAGUGAAAUUGAACUCGCUGUGAAGAUGCAGUGUACCCGCGGCAAGACGGAAAGACCCCGUGAACCUUUACUAUAGCUUGACACUGAACAUUGAGCCUUGAUGUGUAGGAUAGGUGGGAGGCUUUGAAGUGUGGACGCCAGUCUGCAUGGAGCCGACCUUGAAAUACCACCCUUUAAUGUUUGAUGUUCUAACGUGGACCCGUUACCCGGGUUGCGGACAGUGUCUGGUGGGUAGUUUGACUGGGGCGGUCUCCUCCUAAAGAGUAACGGAGGAGCACGAAGGUUGGCUAAUCCUGGUCGGACAUCAGGAGGUUAGUGCAAUGGCAUAAGCCAGCUUGACUGCGAGCGUGACGGCGCGAGCAGGUGCGAAAGCAGGUCAUAGUGAUCCGGUGGUUCUGAAUGGAAGGGCCAUCGCUCAACGGAUAAAAGGUACUCCGGGGAUAACAGGCUGAUACCGCCCAAGAGUUCAUAUCGACGGCGGUGUUUGGCACCUCGAUGUCGGCUCAUCACAUCCUGGGGCUGAAGUAGGUCCCAAGGGUAUGGCUGUUCGCCAUUUAAAGUGGUACGCGAGCUGGGUUUAGAACGUCGUGAGACAGUUCGGUCCCUAUCUGCCGUGGGCGCUGGAGAACUGAGGGGGGCUGCUCCUAGUACGAGAGGACCGGAGUGGACGCAUCACUGGUGUUCGGGUUGUCAUGCCAAUGGCACUGCCCGGUAGCUAAAUGCGGAAGAGAUAAGUGCUGAAAGCAUCUAAGCACGAAACUUGCCCCGAGAUGAGUUCUCCCUGAGACUUAAAGUCUCCUGAAGGAACGUUGAAGACGACGACGUUGAUAGGC
This 2681-nucleotide ribosomal RNA is filed under the name Salmonella enterica subsp. enterica serovar Enteritidis. RNAcentral describes it as "partial 23S ribosomal RNA". It matches the Rfam family "Bacterial large subunit ribosomal RNA". Lineage: Bacteria; Pseudomonadati; Pseudomonadota; Gammaproteobacteria; Enterobacterales; Enterobacteriaceae. The record is from RNAcentral.